RNAcentral lists this ribosomal RNA (398 nucleotides) under Tolypocladium ophioglossoides. RNAcentral describes it as "partial small subunit ribosomal RNA". It matches the Rfam family "Eukaryotic small subunit ribosomal RNA", at positions 30 to 432 of the family's 1831-position model. Lineage: Eukaryota; Fungi; Ascomycota; Sordariomycetes; Hypocreales; Ophiocordycipitaceae. The record is from RNAcentral.
GCUUGUCUCAAAGAUUAAGCCAUGCAUGUCUAAGUAUAAACAAAUCUAUACUGUGAAACUGCGAAUGGCUCAUUAUAUCAGUUAUAGUUUAUUUGAUGGUUCUUACUACUUGGAUAACCGUAGUAAUUCUAGAGCUAAUACAUGCAUCAACCCCCGACUUUUGAAGGGGUGUAUUUAUUAGAUUAAAAACCAAUGCCCUCUGGGCUCUCUGGUGAUUCAUGAUAACUUCUCGAAUCGCAUGGCCUUGCGCCGGCGAUGGUUCAUUCAAAUUUCUUCCCUAUCAACUUUCGAUGUUUGGGUAGUGGCCAAACAUGGUUGCAACGGGUAACGGAGGGUUAGGGCUCGACCCCGGAGAAGGAGCCUGAGAAACGGCUACUACAUCCAAGGAAGGCAGCAGG